CGGCCUUGACAUACUAAGAACUUUCCAGUGAUGGAUUGGUGCCUUCGGGAACUUAGAUACAGGUGCUGCAUGGCUGUCGUCAGCUCGUGUCGUGAGAUGUUGGGUUAAGUCCCGCAACGAGCGCAACCCUUUUCCUUAUUUGCCAGCGGGUCAUGCCGGGAACUUUAAGGAUACUGCCAGUGACAAACUGGAGGAAGGCGGGGACGACGUCAAGUCAUCAUGGCCCUUACGGCCAGGGCUACACACGUGCUACAAUGGUCGGUACAAAGGGUUGCUACCUCGCGAGAGGAUGCUAAUCUCAAAAAGCCGAUCGUAGUCCGGAUCGCAGUCUGCAACUCGACUGCGUGAAGUCGGAAUCGCUAGUAAUCGCGGAUCAGAAUGCCGCGGUGAAUACGUUCCCGGGCCUUGUACACACCGCCCGUCACACCAUGGGAGUUUGUUGCACCAGAAGUAGGUAGUCUAACCGCAAGGAGGACGCUUACCACGGUGUGGCCGAUGACUGGGGUGAAGUCGUAACAAGGUAGGCGUAGAUGA
RNAcentral lists this ribosomal RNA (534 nucleotides) under uncultured bacterium. RNAcentral describes it as "bacterial SSU rRNA". It matches the Rfam family "Bacterial small subunit ribosomal RNA", at positions 976 to 1509 of the family's 1533-position model. The record is from RNAcentral.